Molecule: ribosomal RNA, 486 nt
Filed under: uncultured bacterium
Lineage: Bacteria
Description: bacterial SSU rRNA
Rfam family: Bacterial small subunit ribosomal RNA
Source: RNAcentral
GAUGAACGCUAGCGGCAGGCUUAAUACAUGCAAGUCGUGGGGCAGCAUGAGUAGCAAUACUUGAUGGCGACCGGCAAACGGGUGAGGAACACGUACACAACCUUCCUUCAAGCGGGGAAUAGCCCAGAGAAAUUUGGAUUAAUACCCCAUAAUAUAUUUGAUAAGGCAUCUUAUUAAUAUUAAAGCUUCGGCACUUGAUGAUGGGUGUGCGGCUGAUUAGAUAGUUGGCGGGUAACGGCCCACCAAGUCUACGAUCAGUAGCUGAUGUGAGAGCAUGAUCAGCCACACGGGCACUGAGACACGGGCCCGACUCCUACGGGAGGCAGCAGUAAGGAAUAUUGGACAAUGGACGAAAGUCUGAUCCAGCCAUGCCGCGUGAAGGAUUAAGGUCCUCUGGAUUGUAAACUUCUUUAUAUGGGACGAAAAAGGGCAUUCUUGUUCACUUGACGGUACCAUAUGAAUAAGCACCGGCUAACUCCGUGCCAG